UCCGGCCUGGUGUAACAGCAGCACAGUGGCCUUUGACGCCGUCGGGCGCUGGGGCAGAACCAGCCGCCGGAGCCA
This 75-nucleotide transfer RNA is filed under the name Opitutaceae bacterium. RNAcentral's name for it is "tRNA-Gln". It matches the Rfam family "tRNA". From Rfam's summary of the family: Transfer RNA (tRNA) molecules are approximately 80 nucleotides in length. Their secondary structure includes four short double-helical elements and three loops (D, anti-codon, and T loops). The record is from RNAcentral. Lineage: Bacteria; Pseudomonadati; Verrucomicrobiota; Opitutia; Opitutales; Opitutaceae.